Molecule: unclassified non-coding RNA, 1634 nt
Organism: Apis florea (little honeybee)
Lineage: Eukaryota; Metazoa; Arthropoda; Insecta; Hymenoptera; Apidae
Source: RefSeq, a predicted model, not a curated record
GGAUAUGUAUUAUGCUUUCAUGAGAAGUUACCUUUUUUCUAAAUGCGUAUCUAAACAGAACACAUGAUCUUCGUUGUUGUAACGUAGUAAAAAAACUACCAAAAUGUCAAGAAGACAUUAUCAUGUAUUUUCGAUCGAGUAUCGCACAAUCUAAACUAAAAAUUAUAUUUUAUUAAACAUAUUUUUCAAGAAAGUAUGGCACUUACACGAAAUCUUACUUGUAAAUUAAAAUGUUAUUUAUUAAAAGUACCGAAAAAAAUUUGUUUGUAUCACGUAAGGCAUAUUAGAUUGGCAGAAGUGGGAAAAUUGGAAACACCAAAAUUACAAGGAAAAUAUGAAACUGGUCAAUUAAUUCUACACAGAGUAUUUGGUUAUCGUGGUGUAAUAUUGUUUCCUUGGACAGCACGGGUUUAUGACAGAGAUAUUCCAAAUAAAAAAGAAGGAAACACAAAUGAUCAUUACAAUAGUGUAGGAAAAGAAGUAAAAGGAAGAACUCAUACAUUUUAUCAGGUAUUAAUUGACCAAAGAGAUUAUCCUUUUAUACGUGCUCAAACAGAAGCUGUAACCUUUUUGAGUAAUCAUGAAAGCAGUCAUAGCUUAUAUACAGUACCAGGAUUAGAUUAUGUUGCUCAUGAAGAUAUUUUACCUUAUACUACAAAUGAAAAAACUGCAUUGCAACAUGAAUUAUUUGAUAAAUUCUUAGCAUAUAAUCCAAAUCAAGAACCAUGUUUUGUGGCACAAGAAACACUCAGAGCAUGGCAAAAAAAAAAUCACCCAUGGUUGGAAUUAUCAGAUGUACAUAAAGAAACUACUGAAAAUAUUCGUGUUACUGUUAUUCCAUUUUAUAUGGGUUAUAGAGGAAAUCAAGCUACUGCUGCACAUUGGAUAUGUUUAGGUUUAAAAGAUCUGGGAUGCUUAUCAAAUAACUUGAUAAAGACUUGGAAAUUUGAAAAACUUUGCAGCUCUGUAAGUAGUUAUAAGGCUGCAUACAACAUAUGGAAGCUCAUAAGAUACUUACAUUACUUAUAUACAUACAAAAUUGUUGGUAACUCAAAAACUGUGGCGUUAUUGCAUUCGUCUGGAAAAUUUGGGCGAUUUGAGCGUACAAUUACGUGAAAGACAUUGGAGGAUAUUUAGUCUCUCUGGUACAUUGGAAACUGUUCGAGGACGAGGAGUAGUUGGUCAGGAACCUGUUUUAUCAAAAAUAUUACCUGCUUUUCAAUAUAGUAGUCAUGUGAGUUUACAAGCUGCAAGUGGACAUAUGUGGGGUACAUUUAGAAUGGAAAGAGAAGAUGGGUAUGCGUUUGAUUGUAGAAUUCCACCAUUUUCUUUGGAAUCAAAAAUAGAAAAACCACCUUCAAAUAUGAAUUCUUAAUUAUGCAAUGUCCUAUGAGAAGUAAUAAUUAUUUUGAUAUAUUGAAAAUUAAUGAACAAUAUAACUCAAUAUAUAUGACUCUUAUAUAGUAAUAUUUAUAUUGGUUGUACUAUCUGAUUAUAAAUACUAUGAGUAGAAUUUAAGCUAUGUAGUUUUUGGUAUACAGUAAAUUUAUAACAAACAAUUUUUUCGUAUUAUUUAACAUGUUAUUUUAGAUAAGAUUAGUUAUAGGCAUACAAAUAAAAUAUAAUUGUAUAGA